Molecule: ribosomal RNA, 463 nt
Filed under: uncultured bacterium
Lineage: Bacteria
Description: partial 16S ribosomal RNA
Rfam family: Bacterial small subunit ribosomal RNA
Source: RNAcentral
GACGAACGCUGGCGGCGUGCUUAACACAUGCAAGUCGAACGGAAAGGCCCUGCUUUUGUGGGGUGCUCGAGUGGCGAACGGGUGAGUAACACGUGAGUAACCUGCCCUUGACUUUGGUAUAACUUCAGGAAACUUGGGCUAAUACCGGAUAGGAGCUCCUGCUGCAUGGUGGGGGUUGGAAAGUUUCGGAGGUUGGGGAUGUACCCGCGGAGGAUCAGGUUGUUGGUGGGGUAGUGGCCUACCAAGGCGAUGACCGGUAGCUGGCCUGAGAGGAGGACCGGACACAAUGGGACUGAGACACGGCCCAGACUCCUACGGGAGGCAGCAGUGGGGAAUAUUGGACAAGGGGCGAAAGCCUGAUCCAGCAAUGCCGCGUGAGUGAUGAAGGCCUUAGGGUUGUAAAGCUCUUUUACCAGGGAUGAUAAUGACAGUACCUGGAGAAUAAGCUCCGGCUAACUCCGUG